This 447-nucleotide ribosomal RNA is filed under the name uncultured organism. Its description in RNAcentral is "partial 16S ribosomal RNA". It matches the Rfam family "Bacterial small subunit ribosomal RNA", at positions 334 to 797 of the family's 1533-position model. The record is from RNAcentral.
CACUCCUACGGGAGGCAGCAGUGGGGAAUAUUGGACAAUGGGCGCAAGCCUGAUCCAGCCAUGCCGCGUGAGUGAUGAAGGCCCUAGGGUUGUAAAGCUCUUUCACCGGUGAAGAUAAUGACGGUAACCGGAGAAGAAGCCCCGGCUAACUUCGUGCCAGCAGCCGCGGUAAUACGAAGGGGGCUAGCGUUGUUCGGAUUUACUGGGCGUAAAGCGCACGUAGGCGGACUAUUAAGUCAGGGGUGAAAUCCCGGGGCUCAACCCCGGAACUGCCUUUGAUACUGGUAGUCUUGAGUUCGAGAGAGGUGAGUGGAAUUCCGAGUGUAGAGGUGAAAUUCGUAGAUAUUCGGAGGAACACCAGUGGCGAAGGCGGCUCACUGGCUCGAUACUGACGCUGAGGUGCGAAAGCGUGGGGAGCAAACAGGAUUAGAUACCCUUGUAGUCCCA